This 4981-nucleotide long non-coding RNA is filed under the name Selaginella moellendorffii. RNAcentral describes it as "long non-coding RNA (SMOE_LNC001927)". Lineage: Eukaryota; Viridiplantae; Streptophyta; Lycopodiopsida; Selaginellales; Selaginellaceae. The record is from RNAcentral.
GCGGUGAUAGCCGGCAAAGUUUUCAUGGCACACGGUGGCUUGUUCCGGAGCUUGGAACUGGGGCCUUCUACGCGAUCUUUCUUGGUGAGAGCUGCUGCUAAGCUCAAGCUGGGUGAUCUGGACGACCUUGCAAAGUCGAGAAGAGGCGUGCUGGAUCCGUCGGCCGUGGGAAACAACGUGAUACCGGGUGAUAUCUUGUGGUCCGAUCCAUCUCCAAACCCGGGGCUUGCGAGCAACGAAGGUCGAGGGAUCGGGCUUGUUUUUGGACCGGAUUGUACUCAAGAGUUUAUGGACAAGCACAAGCUAAAGGUAAGGUGGUGUUUUGCGUCGUUUGCUCACGAUCAUUGGCAUUGUUCGGCAGUGCAGCUUAUAGUGAGAUCUCACGAGGGGCCGGAUGCGAGACAGAAGCGUCCCGAGAUGGCGAGCAUGGACAAAGGCUACACGAUCGACCACGUUGUCAAGGCUGGAAAGCUCAUCACUCUGUUCAGUGCUCCCGACUAUCCCCAGUUUCAGGUUGGCCUUCUUCAUUUCGUGUUUUCUUUCUCCGUAAAUGCAACGAAGUUUCGAUUGUCAACAAUGGCAGGCGACCGAAACUCGGUUUAACAACAAAGCAGCCUACAUUGUUUUGGAACCACCGGAUUUUUGCGAGCCCGACAUUCGUGUUUUUGAGGCGGUCCUCCCGCGGCCACAUGUAAGCAAUUUCGUUUUGAUACUUCCAUCCACCGCUUUGGUUGCUUUUCCGCAGGUUAUGCCGUAUUACGAUCAUGUUAAUGUUAUGGAUUCAGACGACGAGCUAGAUCUGCCAAAAGACGGAUAAAACAAAUCUAGAAAAAUGCCACGAUCGCCACCAUUAAGGUCCUCGUGGGCGUUGGACUUUUAUGCUCGUAGGAGUCAAGAAAAUUAUUGACAAUAUAUUUCCGAGUGAGAGCUGCAAGAGAGCUGCGACAAGGAGAAAAUGGCGAGUGAUUUUGUUUUGGUUGUGGCGGCAGCACUAUCGAUCACUGCUGUGCUAUGGAAGCUAUGGAGGAGUAGAAUUAAAUCAUCUCUUCUUCCUCCAGGUCCCAUUGGGCUUCCACUGAUCGGCCAUCUCCACUUGCUCUUUGCCAAUCCUCCGCACACCGUGCUCCAGAGGCUGUCGGCUCGCCAUGGACCGAUCAUGUCACUGCGAUUCGGGCAUGUUCCAGUGGUUGUCGCCUCCAGCCCAGCAGCCGCCAAGGAGUUCCUCAAGACCCACGACGCCGCCUUUGCGUCUCGCCCGCCGAGCGCCGCCGGGAGGAUCAUCGUCCACUACAACGCCGACAUCGUUUUCGCCCCCUAUGGCGACUCGUGGCGGCACUUGCGCAAGAUCGCGACGCUGGAGCUCCUCACAGCUCGCCGGAUUGACAUGUUUCGGGGCGCGAGAAUGGAAGAGGUAAAAUCCAUGUGCCGAUCGCUACUAGUGGCGGACGAUUGCGAGACAGGGAUCGUGGAUGUUCGUGGGCGACUGACUGCACUCACCUUCAAUCUCAUCACUUUCAUGCUCAUGGGCAAGCGCUACUUUGGCAAAGAUGCAGAGAAUGAUGAAGGGGCAAGGAAGUUCUUAGAGGUAAUUGCAGGUACGUUUGAGGUAUGUGGAGAGUUUCCAAUUGGGGAUUAUUUCCCAUGGUUCCCCAAAUUCCUGGAUCCAGCAGAACGUCGUAUGCAUUUCCUAGCUAAAUCCUUGCACAAAUUCCUUAGUGACAAUAUCACCGAGCACGAGAAUAGGAGAAAUAACAGUGAGAAAAAUAACACUGACAAAGAUUUCUUGGACAUCCUUCUCUCUCUGAGAGACAAUGGUGAUGAGCAUCUACAAAACAAAAACAUCAUAAGUGUCAUGACGGUAAGAAGAAAAGUUUAUCAAUUCGGUCAAUCAGUCUCAUCACUCGAGAUCUUUUUCUUGGCAGAACUUGGUCACAGCUGGAACCGACACCUCAGCAGUGACACUCGAGUGGGCAAUGGCUGAGUCGAUAAAAAACCCCACCAUUGCCGCCAAAGCCCGAGAAGAAAUCGAGCUAGUUCUCGGCGAGAAGUGGAGGACGAAGAUGGUGGAAGAGCCUGAUCUUUCACAGCUAACUUAUCUCCAAGCCAUCGUCAAGGAGACACUCCGGCUGCAUCCUGCGGUACCGCUGCUGGUCCCCCACCAAUCCACCGAGGCGGUUAGCAAUGUAAUGGGGUACCAUGUUCCGCGCGGCACGACGGUGCUCAUCAACGCCUACACCAUCGCCAGAGACUCUACCGCCUGGGGUGACGACGCGCUGCUCUUCCGGCCCGAGAGAUUCCUUGGCACAGAUCUGGACAUCCGGGGCAGGGACUUCGAGGCGGUGCCGUUUGGAUCGGGGCGGCGACAAUGCCCAGGAAUGGCACUGGCGCUCACCACUGUCCAUCUCACGCUCGCCAACCUCCUCCAUGGAUUCGAGUGGAGAGAGCCCAGCGGUGAGAGCAUCGACACGAGCAAGGAGCAGUAUGGAUUGGCGCUGCUCUUGGCAAAGAAGCUGCGACUGAUCGCCACCCCACGGCUAGAACAAGGUACCUUAUAGCUCCGAUCCAAAGAAAGCUUGGAAGAAUAGCUUCCUUGACAAACCAUGAAUAAGAAAGAAACCACGAACUUUGCACUAUCUCUCCAAACGGACACUGCCGGCCUCAUCAGGAGCCUCCUUGCGAAUGCGAUUUUUGCAUGGCAUGGAUAUUUUUAUAACAAAUAUAAAGAUAAUUUGUAAGUAUUAAAUAUUCUGAAGAAAUUGUUGAAGACUUGGAAAAGAAUAGACCAAGAGUAGAUUGUUGGAUCUAAUUUGAUUUCCAAGUGUGAUUGAAGCUCUUGUUAAUGUUCAGCUUAUCAGCGGCUUGACAACAUCUACGUUAUUGCUUGCAACGUGCAUAGCUAAUAAGGGGGUCGGCACUCUUGUUCUUCCUUGCAGCCCGCAUAGAUUGGAGCAAGGGAUUGGACAGGUUGCACUCCGAUGACAAGAAGUCCAAAAGCUUAUCUUCAUCUUCGCUUAGAAGAGUUGUGGUGCUCUCCAACAACAGCUUCCAGCAGUGUCCACAUUCCUGAGCUCGACCCUGUGAAGCAGAAACGCACAAGCCCCAAUGAAUUUGAUCCGUGCACCACAUUCUUGCACCAAGCUUCCCCCCACCAUAUGCUUGAGAAACAUCUCCAAGAAGCAGAAGGCAGUCUAGCGGUACCUGGCCUCGUGCACACGCAUCGUGCAGCUCCUUGAAAGCAUCACUAGCCAGUUCAAAGGCAAUGUUCUUGAAGCCCUGCAGCGAGACAGUCAUAAACCAGGUGCCAAACUCUAAAACUGAUCUCCACUUGCUCUCAGAUACCAAGCUUCUCCAAUGCUGGCGCAUCCUCAUCUCUGCUUGUGUUGUGGCUUGCAACUGGCCGUAGUCUGAAAUGCUGGUGUAGAGAUAACUCAGCUUCUGGUGUGCAUUGCCAUGCCUCUAACGCCAUCGUAAACUCUAUCAUCUCAGCUUGGGGGAAGAAAGCCUUGGGAGGGCGUAGCUCUGGGAGAGGCUUCACUUCCAUAGCUUGCCUGUUCAGCCGCCGCUCCAGCACGCUUCCCUUCUGCAAUCUAUUUCCUACCACCUUUCUAAUCUCAGGCUUGGAUAUCCCCUCCCAGGAACCAUACGCCAACACAUCCAGCGACUGUUGGAUUUGGAUGGAAUCCCCCUUGUUCUUCUUCAGUGCCUACAAAGCUUUCGUAAGCAUCAUCAGAUCUGUGGAGCAUGUUCUAUUUUUAUAGCUUGGAUCGUUAAAAGGUACUUUGUUCCAGGCGAGGGGUGGAGAUCAAUCGCAGCUUGUUUGCCAUGAGCAACGUCAAUCCAUAUUGCUCGUUGCUCGUGUUGAUACUCUCACCGCUGGGUUCUCCACUCGAAUCCAUGGAGGAGGUUGGCGAGCGUGAGAUGGACAGUGGUGAGUGCCAGUGCCAUUCCCGGGCAUUGUCGCCGCCCCGAUCCAAACGGCACUGCCUCGAAGUCCCUGCCCCGGAUGUCCAGAUCCGUGCCAAGGAAUCUCUCGGGCCGGAAGAGCAGCGCAUCGUCACCCCAGGCGGAAGAGUCUCUGGCGAUGGCAUAGGCGUUGAUGAGCACCGUCGAAGAAGAGCGGCAACAAGAAGGCGCCAAUCCCGGAAUCCAGCUCGGAUAGGCGCAAGGAGUAGCGAUGGCGGCAGAGGAGGAGGCGGUGAGCAAGGUAGUGGAAUGGCCAGAGGAUGGGGAUUGACGCGAGAAUGGGUAAUCGGCGUGGGCGAGACCCUGGCGGAGGCGGCCUCCAUGCUGAGGCCGCAAGCACUGCGCCAGGUAGUGCCAGUCGCGGUCGCCGAUUCGCUCAUCGCCAGGGCUUCCAAGAUCAUGCACAAGGAGCCCAAUUGCUUGCGCCUGGAGCCGAUUUGCACGGCCAGCUCCAUGAUUUGCUCCAUCUCUUCGAUCUGGCCGGCCUCCCCGACGAAUGUUUGUGUUUAACGGGGACUAUGUGGAUCGAGGAGCGUGGGGAUUCGAGACUUACUUUCUCCUCCUUGCUUGGAAGGUAUGAUAUCGGUUUUUUUUUUUUACUUCUUUCUGGUGGUAGUGAAAGUUGGUAUUUUUCUUCUUUUCUUCAGGUAUUGCUACCUCACCGAGUGUUUCUUCUGCGAGGAAACCACGAGACAAAGUUCUGUACGAGCGUCUACGGCUUCGAAAAAGAGAACUCCGUCAAGUUUGGGGAGCAUUCCAAGCAUGUCUAUCGCAAGCUCUUGGGAUGUUUCGAGUGCCAUCCUCUGGCGGCGGUGAUAGCCGGCAAAGUUUUCAUGGCACACGGUGGCUUGUUCUGGAGCUUAAAACCGGGGCCUUAUACGCGAUCUUUCUUGGUGAGAGCUGCUGCUAAGCUCAAGCUGGGUGAUCUGGACGACCUUGCAAAGUCGAGAAGAGGCGUGCUGGAUCCGUCGGCCAUGGGAAACAACGUGAUACCGGGUGAUAUCUUGUGGUCCGAUCC